AACGAACGCUGGCGGCAUGCCUAACACAUGCAAGUCGAACGAGACCGUCGGGUCUUGCUGCGCUCGGGGGCGUAACGCGUGGGAACCUGCCCUUAGGUUCGGUAUAACUCCCCUCAAGGGGUGCUAAGACCGGUUAAUGUCAUCCGAGCAAAGAUCUCUUGUCUUUGGGUGGGCGCGCGUUGGAUUCGCUAGUUGGUAGGGUAAAAGCCUAUCAGCGCGAGGAUCCAUAGCUGGUCUGAGAGGAUGACCAGCUACAAUCGGCCUGAGACACGGACCAGUCUCGUACGGGGGGGAGCAGAGGGGAAUAGUAGAGAAGGGACGAAAGUGUGAUCACGCAAUGUCGGGUAAGUGAGCAAGGCGUUAGGAUUGUCAAGCUGCUUUGGACGAGAUGAUAGUGACAGUACCGGGAGAAUAAGCACCGGCUAACUACGUG
This 433-nucleotide ribosomal RNA is filed under the name uncultured bacterium. RNAcentral describes it as "partial 16S ribosomal RNA". It matches the Rfam family "Bacterial small subunit ribosomal RNA", at positions 29 to 507 of the family's 1533-position model. The record is from RNAcentral.